UAGCCUGGAUCUCUGAUUUGCAGAG
This 25-nucleotide microRNA is filed under the name Canis lupus familiaris (dog). Its description in RNAcentral is "cfa-miR-8800". The record is from miRBase by way of RNAcentral. Lineage: Eukaryota; Metazoa; Chordata; Mammalia; Carnivora; Canidae.